Oryctolagus cuniculus (rabbit) is the source of this 5760-nucleotide non-coding RNA. Lineage: Eukaryota; Metazoa; Chordata; Mammalia; Lagomorpha; Leporidae. The record is from RefSeq and is a predicted model, not a curated record.
CUUCUGCUUUCCCAGUCCGUAGCAGAGAGCUGGAUUGAAAGUGGAGCAGCCGGGACUCGAACCUGUGCCCCAUUUGGGAUGCCAGCACUGCAGGUGGUGGCUUCAUCCACUAUGCCACAGCGCUGGCCCCUAAACUGAUUCUUGACAAUAAUUUGUGAACUGAAAAAAUAUCAACCAUGCAACCACUGGUAAAUUUUCACCAAAUCAUUCACAUGACCAGUGAGCAGGACUAAAACAGUGGUCUUAUUGCACAGUGCAUAUGGCCAAUCUUAGAAUUCUCCCAUUAGUAUCUAUGUAGUUUCAGAUUCUUUUUGGGGUUGCCAGGUAAAAAUACAUUAGUAAUAUAAGUUAUCUUUACAAAAUCAUAUCAUCUGUAGUAUUUUAAGGCAUAUUUUACAAGCUUUAUAAUGAGUUUUUAUAAUUAAAUACUCAUUGGGGGUUCAUAAGAAAUGAUUUGGGGUAGCUAUUGCUAAAUGAUGUGUCCCUCAAUAUGCAUGUGUUGAAAUGUAAUACUCAAUGUGUUGUUAUUUAGGAGCAGGGGUGCUGGGAGGUGACUGGAUCAUGAGGGCAGAUCUUCUGAGAAUGCUAUCACUGCCCUUAUUUUUUUAAAAAAAGGUUUUAUUUACUUAUUUGAGAAGCAGAGUUACAGACAGAGAGAAGAAGGAACAGAGAGAAAAGACUUCCAUCUGCUGGUUCACUCCCCAAUUGGCCACCAUGGCCAGAGCUAAGCCAAUCAGAAACCAGGAACCAGUGUAUUCCAGGUCUCCCACAUGGGUACAGGGGUCCAAGGGCUUGGGCCAUCUUCCACUGGCACUGGUUUCCCAGGCCGCAGCAGAGAGUUGGAUCAGAAGUGGAGCAUUUGGUACUCAAACCCAUGCCAAUGUGGGAUGCCUACCUGAAGGUGGCUUUACCCACUACGCCACAGCACCCUUUUAAGAAUGGCUUGAUGGAGCAGCUUGUUUACCCCUUUGCAAUUCUGCCACAUGAGGGCACACAGACAUUAGCGAGCAAAGCUUCACCAGACACCAAGUCCCCUAACACUGUGAUCUUGGACUUAACAGCCUCCAAAAGAGUGAGUAAUAAAUUCCUGUUGUUUACAAACUUCUCAGUGUAAUGCGUUUUCUUACAGCAUCCCAACUCGACUAAAUGGAGUAAAUAAUCAGAAAAGUUUAGAAAUGGGUGGGCAUGAGGCACAGCAGGUUAAUCUGACAUUUGGGAUGUCAGCAUCCUGCAUCAACCUGCCUGGUAUGAGUCCCAGGUCCUCCAUGUCCAAUUCAGUUUCCUGGUAAUUUACCUGGGAGGCAACAAACAAUGGCCCAACAUUCCUGCCACCGACAUUGUAGACAGAGAUGUAGUUCCUGGCUCCUGGCUUCUGCCUGGCCCAGUCCUGGCUUUUGGGGGCAUUUGAGGAGUAAGUCAGCAGGUAGAAGAUCUCUCUUUGUGCCUCUUUCACUCUGUUGGCAAAUGAAUACAUAAACCUUAUGAAAAACAUUGAUGACAUGACUUUGGUAAAUGUUUCAUCAAGUAAGAAGUUUAAGAAUAAAACAUGGGGCUGGCACUGUGGUAUCACAUACAAGCUCUGGUUCAAAUCCUGGCUGUUCUACCUCUGAUACAGCUCCCUGCUAAUGCAUCUAGGAUAGUAGCAGAGGAUGGCCCAAGUGCUUGGGCCUCUGCACCCUUGUGGGUGACCCAGAAGAAGCUCUUGGCUCCUGGUUUCAUCGUGGAUGAACCCUGGCUGUUGUGGCCAUUUGUGGAGUGAAGUGAGCAGACGGAAGAUCUCUUUCCUUCUCUCUCUCCUUCUCUCUGUAUGUAACUGUGCCUUCCAAGAAAAUGAAGUAAAUCUUUAAAAAAUGUGAAAAUGUAUAGUACUGUAUUCAGUUAGAGUGGUGAGAGUGGAUGUCCUUGUGUUGUUACAGAUUUUGACAAAAUGCGUUCAUCUUCUCCUCAUUCACUAUAAUAUUGGCUGAUUCUUUGUCAAGUAUCACAUUUAUGUUUUUGAGGCAUGUUCCUUCUAUGCCUAAUUUGUGGAGGUUUUUUUUUUAUGCCAUGAAAGGGUAAUGAAUCAUAUCAAAUGCUUUCUCUGCAUCUAAUGAGAGUAUGGUUUUUAUUCUUUUAUUAUGUUGAUUAAUUUAUGAUAUUUAUUGUUUUGAAAAUAUGGGACCACCAUGGCAUUUCUGGGAUCAAUUCCGAUUGAUAGUUAUGUAUGAGUUUUUUGAUGUUUUCAAUUGUUUAUUUAGUACUCUGUUGAGAAUCUUUUUAUCUAUGUUCUUCAAGAAUAUACGCCUGUAGUAUUCUUUCCAUUUUGUGUCUUGGUUUGUUUUUGGCAUCAAAGGGAUGUUGGCCUCCUAAAAAGUGUUUGACAGUGUUCCAUCCUGUUCAGUGUUUCCAAAUAGUCUGAAGAUUGUUGGAGUUUAUCUUUAAAUGUUUUGUAGAAUUGGGUAGUAAAGCCAUCAAGUCAUGGGUUUUUUAUUGAUGGAAGAAUUUUGCUUACUGCUACAAUGCCAUUACUUUUUGUGAGUCUGUUAGAUUGUCUUUAUCUUCUGGAUUAAAUUUGGUAAGUUACUUGUAUUGAAAAACUUCUCCAUUUUUCUCAGUUUUCCAGUUUAUUAGCAUAUAGUAUUGAAUGGCAGUUUCUUUUGAAGCCUUGUAUUUCAGUAGUGUUGAUUAUACUGUCUGCUUUUUCAUCUAAUCUUAUUUAUUUGAGGUUUUGAGGUUUUUUUCUCUUUUUUUCUUUGUCAUUCUUGUUAGAGACUGAUUUAGUUUUUAAAAAUUUUAUGUGAGGUAAACAAAUUUCAUGUACUUGCCAUAUACAUAUUCAGGAACGUAUUGAUUCUUCACACCCAACGCUUCCUCUAGCCCAUGCUUCCAUACUUCUUCCUCUUCCCUCUCCUGUUUCCACUGUUAAUUCUAAUAGAAAAAUAUUUUCAGGUAACUUUAUACUCAUAAUAGUCACUAUUCACUAAGUAAAAAGUUCAACAAAUAGUAUGAAGAAAAUAAAUUGUUCCUCAAAGUGAGACAAGGCUUGUAAAAAAAAGCAUCAUAUCUCAAAAUACUCAUUUUAUUCCUACACAUUAUUACCUGUUAAAUACUCUCUUAGUCACCGCAGAUCAGGGACAACAUGUGGGAUUUGUCUUUUGGGGACUAGCUUAUUUCACUAAGUAUAAUGUUUUCUAGUUAAAUCCAUUUUGUUGCAAAAGACUUCAUUGCAUUUUUUCCUGCUGAAUAGCAUUCCAUAGUGUAUAUAUACCACAGUUACUUUUUUUCAAGAUUUAUUUUUCUGAGAGGCAGAGUUGAGAGAGGGAGAGAUAGAGAACGAGAGGUCUUCCAUCUGAGAAUGAGAGGUCUUCCUUCUGGUUCACUCUCUAAAUGGAUGCAAUGGGUAGAACUGGGCUGAUGUGAAGCCAGGAGUCAGCAGCUUCUUCUGGGUUUUCCACACAGGUGCAAGGGCCCAAGGAUUUGGGCCAUCUUCUACUGUUUUCCUAGGCCUUCAUCAGGGAGCAUCCAGGCUUCGAACAGGCACAACUAUGGGAUGCUGGUGCAUCAAGUAGGAGGCUUAACCCACUUUGUGCUGGCCUCCAUAAUUUCUUUAUCUAAUCGUCAUUUGAUAGACAUCUGGGUUGAUUCCAUAUCUUAGCUGUUGUGAAUUGAGCAGCCAUAAACAUGUGGGUACAGAUAACUCUUUCAUCUGCUGAUUUCAAUUUGUUUAGGUAAAUUCCCAUGAGUGGCAUUGCUGGUUCAUAUGAUUCAUCUAUUUUCAGCCUUUUGAGGUGUCUCCAUACUGUCUUCCACAAUGGCUUCACCAGAUUACAUUCCCAAUGGAUUAGGAAUAGGUUACCUACCUAGAGCACACUUGAGAUCAACACAGGCCCGCUAUUCUAGCCUGGAGACAAGACAGCUGUCACCCACGUUUUUACGCUGCCUGUACGCUUCUGGUGCUGCUGUGCUUGCUGGGAGGGAGAGGAGGGUCCUAGAUGGCUGGCGCUUGCGCAGUCGGCCUGGUGGAGAGCAAGAAGAUGUAUCCGGCGGUGGCGGCAUGUUGUCGGCUGCAGGAGUUGUCGGCUGAUGGCGGCGUUUUCGGCAGAGGUACAGGCCCGGAGAGUGCAGGAGUGAAGACAUCUUCAUGGAUAUGAAACUGGACGCAGAGUUGACGCUGAAGUUCAGCUGCCGAGUCAUCUUCCAUUUCUAGAGACUGCUCGAUUUCCUGCUAAACACACUUGGGGCUUCUUCCUGGAGAGGAGCAACUGACAGAAUUACAGAGAGAGGUAGAGACAGAGAGAGGUCUUGCAUCUGCUGGUUCACUCCAGAGAUGGCUGCAACGGCCGGAGCUGGGCCAAUCUGAAGCCAGGAGCCAGGAGCUUCUUCCAGAUCUCCCACAUGCAUGCAGGGGCCCAAGGAGUUGGGCCAUCUUCUACUGCUUUCCCAGGCCAUAGCAGAGAGCUGGAUUGGAAGAGGAGCAGCUGGGACUAGAAGCAGUGCACAUAUGGAAUGCCACUCCAUGCCAAUGUGUGUCCUGUUGCCAGUGAGGAGUGUGCCUGUGCCUGGCGCUUUGACCCAGAAGUGCACCCGCAGGUGCCGCCACUUCUGCCCUCGAUGCACUGGUGGGAGUCAGAGCCAUGUCUGCUCCUUCCCAGAGCCUUGAGGAGCCGCCUUCAACGCUGGUGGCUGAACCUGAGGAGACCCAGGGCCCCCCCAGGCUCAGGCUGGGAUCAGACUGCACACACAGAGGAGAAAGCAGAAGCUUAGAGAAAUGCCAAGAAUCCCUCAGUGCCCUGUUCCAGCCUGCCCCAAGAUUCUGACACCUCACAGUAAGUACUAGAUAUUUUAUUCUAUUUAAAGAAUGGUUUGCAAAGCAGAGUUCUAGAUGAGGCAGGGGGGGAGAGAUCUUCAGGGUAUGGGUUCACACUGCAGGUGGCUACAAUGGCUGGUGGUGGGCCAUGCCGAAGCUAAAGCCAUGUACUUUAUCUAGUACUCCAGUGUGGGUUCAGGAACCGACGUCCUCGGGAAACUUGAGUUUGUGUAACACACUACCUGUAUAUGUAAAGUGCUUACCCCUUUUAUCACCAUUUAUUUGCUAAACACCGAUAUCACGUAUAAGACUGUGAGCUUGUCCAGGGCAGGACUUUGUCUCUGCUUUCAUUCCUGUAGUCCCUGGUACACAGUUGGAAUUCAGCUUAUGCAGAAUUAACAAUGCACUCACUGUUGGAUCUUGGGACAGGAACUGUUGGUUAUAGAAAGGUCUGUUUACAGCAAUAAUGGUAGGAGGGCCAAGAAGGGAUGUUUAAGAGAAUCAGCAUUAAUGAAGCACUUUCAGUGGUCAGGCUUCUUAAUGUACCAUUGUCUCAUUUCUAAAUAACAACACAAGGAGGGGAAGCAAGAGUUUUAUUUAAUUAUACAACAUUGUCCUGUCUAAUCCUCUUCAAAACUCUGUGAGGAAGGUACCACUGAUACCCUUUUAAAUAUGAGUUAAAGGAAGUGGGAACCAGCCCUAGGCCAUAUAUAGAUAUCAGUGAAGUUCCAGUUUAAAUCCUGCUGUGCUUGCCCCUCCUGGGCUGCAGGGUGUGGGCUAAUGUGAGAGGUGAGUGUGUGAGGAGGGUCCUGGAGGUGCAGUGCAACUUGCCUGCUGGGAGUGUCUCUGCAGGGCCAAAAGCCUUGACCUUUCAGGGUUGCCUGGAUUUCAGCUUGGGCUGUCUGGAGUUGAGAUUCUGAGGGCAGGAGUGUGGUGGGUCUUGCCAGUUCCCGCCUUCCUUCUCUGAGCAAAAA